Molecule: ribosomal RNA, 324 nt
Filed under: uncultured eukaryote
Lineage: Eukaryota
Description: partial 18S ribosomal RNA
Rfam family: Eukaryotic small subunit ribosomal RNA
Source: RNAcentral
CCCUUAGAUGUUCUGGGCCGCACGCGCGCUACACUGAUGCAUUCAACGAGUUUCUUCCUGGUCCGAGAGGAAUGGGUAACCUUUUGAAAGUGCAUCGUGAUAGGGAUAGACUAUUGCAAUUAUUGGUCUUCAACGAGGAAUUCCUAGUAGACGUAGUUCAUCAGACUGCAUCGAUUACGUCCCUGCCCUUUGUACACACCACCCGUCGCUCCUACCGAUUGAAUGCUCAGGUGAGCCAUUCGGACUUUCAUCAUGCUGGUUUCCAGUUUUGAUGAAGGAAAGUCUUGCGAACCUUAUCAUUUAGAGGAAGGAGAAGUCGUAACA